GGGAUAUACAAAAUCUUAGACCAAUAUUUCUAGCAAAAGCAAUAAUAUUUUUGGGAUAUACAAAACCCUCAUGCAUUCUCAUUUCGGAAUUAAUAGAUGAAAGGCAAUGGUAACAAGGACAUGUAGGUCAGCUUAUUGUGGUGACAAAAGUACAGGACUAUCCCUUAUUUUUCUUAUUUUACUUAUAGUACUGUUUCUUAGAGAUUCCAGAGGCAUUCCUUUAGAAGCAUCAUGCCAUCUGACUAUAUGUUAACACUCAUCAGUAUUCUUCUAUCUAAAAUCAAAAGUUUCAAACUACCAUAACACCAACUAAACAAUCUAGACACAGCCUAUAUUUAGUUCUCAGAGAAUGGAAAAGGGAAAGGGGAAAGAGGAGAAAAGGAGGGAGGGACACAAGAAUCUAGGACUUUAUUGCAAGGUUUUGAAUCCAAAGAAAUCAAAGGCUAAGUUUAUUCCUUACCAUUAACUA
Molecule: unclassified non-coding RNA, 469 nt
Filed under: Hevea brasiliensis (rubber tree)
Lineage: Eukaryota; Viridiplantae; Streptophyta; Magnoliopsida; Malpighiales; Euphorbiaceae
Source: RNAcentral